RNAcentral lists this unclassified non-coding RNA (419 nucleotides) under Hevea brasiliensis (rubber tree). Lineage: Eukaryota; Viridiplantae; Streptophyta; Magnoliopsida; Malpighiales; Euphorbiaceae. The record is from RNAcentral.
CUCUUCUCAACUCUCUGUUUUCUUUAAUUUCUUAUUCCUCUCAAAUGUCAUUUUUAGAAUCCAAUGUUGAAGCUUUUUGGCAUGGCAUCCAUCAUUUUUAUGCUUCUUUUGGCGUUCUUGUUGCUAGUGCUGCCACUGGUAUUGCCGCCGCUUCCGCCGCCGCCAUUGAUAUUUCUUUGUGUACCAGUUCUGAUCAUGUCUUUCCUUAUUGUCUUGGCUUUUUCUCCCUACCAAACACCAAAUUUCGCAUUCUUCGCCCUUGAUAAGUCGAUCUAAGGCCUCAGGACUUCAUUUUCAAUUUAUCAAGGGAAUGUGCAGCAUUCAGAGAUCCUGUGGUUCAGAUAUGGAAAUGUACAGUGUAGAUCGUAAGAUUACGUACGGAAAGAGUUGAAAUAUUCUCUCUCUCUCUCUCUCUCUCU